This 437-nucleotide small RNA is filed under the name Pongo abelii (Sumatran orangutan). RNAcentral's name for it is "processed transcript". Lineage: Eukaryota; Metazoa; Chordata; Mammalia; Primates; Hominidae. The record is from RNAcentral.
GCAUUUCCGGCCUUUGUAGUUUAUCAUUCUUUGGGCUGCGGUUGUCAAGGAUUCAGAGCCGAUGUGAUCUGCGCUAGGUGGCAUCUCUCACGGAUGCCUCGGUCCUGAGCCAUGCUCAUGAACAGGAAGAGUUUGUAAAGGAGAAGGCAACUCCAGGAGCAGCUCAGGAGUCAUCAAAUGACCAAUUCCAAACCUUGGAAGAGCAACUUCGGUAUAAUUUGCGAGAGGUGUGCCCAGUUCAGGAGAUUGAUGGCAAGGCUGGGACUUGGAAUGUGGAGUUAGCCCCAAAGAGGGAGAUUUCUCAGGAAGUGAAAUCUCUUAUACAAGUUCUUGGAAAACAGAAUGGUAAUAUUACUCAGAUUCCUGAGUAUGGAGAUACCUGUGACCGUGAGGGCAGAUUGGAAAAGCAAAGGGUGAGCUCUUCAGUGGAGAGACCC